UGGAGGUAGUGACAAUAAAUCACAAUGCGGAACAAUGUUUUGCAAUUGGAUUGAGAACAACGUACAAACCUUAUCGAUAAACAAUUGGAGGGCAAGUCUGGUGCCAGCAGCCGCGGUAAUUCCAGCUCCAAUAGCGUAUAUUAACGUUGUUGCAGUUAAAAAGCUCGUAGUUGAAACGAAGGGUGGUGUUGUUGGAUUUACAUUCGUGUAUUUCUUUCAACUCCUCCCUCCUUCUAAAUUCGAUAUAUGAGUAUUAAUUUACUUGUAUAUGGUUUUAGACAUUUACUGUGAGAAAAUUAGAGUGUUCAAAGCAGGCAUUUGCUUGAAUAUAUUAGCAUGGAAUAAUCAUGUAUGAUUUUCAUGAUGUAUUUGAUUGGUUUGGUUCAUGAGAAUAAGAUUAAAAGGGACAGUUGGGGGUAUUCAUAUUCAAUAGUCAGAGGUGAAAUUCUCGGAUUUAUGGAAGAUGAACAAGUGCGAAAGCA
RNAcentral lists this ribosomal RNA (482 nucleotides) under Blastocystis sp. PR-4. Its description in RNAcentral is "bacterial SSU rRNA". It matches the Rfam family "Eukaryotic small subunit ribosomal RNA", at positions 459 to 953 of the family's 1831-position model. Lineage: Eukaryota; Bigyra; Opalinata; Blastocystidae. The record is from RNAcentral.